This 421-nucleotide ribosomal RNA is filed under the name uncultured bacterium. RNAcentral describes it as "partial 16S ribosomal RNA". It matches the Rfam family "Bacterial small subunit ribosomal RNA", at positions 355 to 768 of the family's 1533-position model. The record is from RNAcentral.
UAGGGAAUCUUCGGCAAUGGACGAAAGUCUGACCGAGCAACGCCGCGUGAGUGAAGAAGGUUUUCGGAUCGUAAAACUCUGUUGGUAGAGAAGAACGUUGGUGAGAGUGGAAAGCUCAUCAAGUGACGGUAACUACCCAGAAAGGGACGGCUAACUACGUGCCAGCAGCCGCGGUAAUACGUAGGUCCCGAGCGUUGUCCGGAUUUAUUGGGCGUAAAGCGAGCGCAGGUGGUUUAUUAAGUCUGGUGUAAAAGGCAGUGGCUCAACCAUUGUAUGCAUUGGAAACUGGUAGACUUGAGUGCAGGAGAGGAGAGUGGAAUUCCAUGUGUAGCGGUGAAAUGCGUAGAUAUAUGGAGGAACACCGGUGGCGAAAGCGGCUCUCUGGCCUGUAACUGACACUGAGGCUCGAAAGCGUGGGGAG